GGCACUGCCCGGUAGCUAAAUGCGGAAGAGAUAAGUGCUGAAAGCAUCUAAGCACGAAACUUGCCCCGAGAUGAGUUCUCCCUGACCCUUUAAGGGUCCUGAAGGAACGUUGAAGACGACGACGUUGAUAGGCCGGGUGUGUAAGCGCAGCGAUGCGUUGAGCUAACCGGUACUAAUGAACCGUGAGGCUUAACCUUAC
Molecule: ribosomal RNA, 199 nt
Filed under: Escherichia coli O157:H7 str. LSU-61
Lineage: Bacteria; Pseudomonadati; Pseudomonadota; Gammaproteobacteria; Enterobacterales; Enterobacteriaceae
Description: partial 23S ribosomal RNA
Rfam family: Bacterial large subunit ribosomal RNA
Source: RNAcentral